CCUACGGGGGGCAGCAGUAAGGAAUAUUGCGCAAUGGGCGACAGCCUGACGCAGCGACGCCGCGUGGGGGAUGAAGGUCUUCGGAUUGUAAACCCCUUUCGGCAGGGAAGAUGGAACGGGUAACCGUUCGGACGGUACCUGCAGAAGCAGCCACGGCUAACUUCGUGCCAGCAGCCGCGGUAAUACGAAGGUGGCAAGCGUUGUUCGGAUUUACUGGGCGUACAGGGAGCGUAGGCGGUUGGGUAAGCCCUCCGUGAAAUCUCCGGGCCUAACCCGGAAAGUGCGGAGGGGACUGCUCGGCUAGAGGAUGGGAGAGGAGCGCGGAAUUCCCGGUGUAGCGGUGAAAUGCGUAGAGAUCGGGAGGAAGGCCGGUGGCGAAGGCGGCGCUCUGGAACAUUUCUGACGCUGAGGCUCGAAAGCGUGGGGAGCAAACAGGAUUAGAUACCCGGGUAGUC
This 455-nucleotide ribosomal RNA is filed under the name uncultured Nitrospira sp. RNAcentral's name for it is "bacterial SSU rRNA". It matches the Rfam family "Bacterial small subunit ribosomal RNA", at positions 338 to 795 of the family's 1533-position model. The record is from RNAcentral. Lineage: Bacteria; Pseudomonadati; Nitrospirota; Nitrospiria; Nitrospirales; Nitrospiraceae.